GACGAACGCUGGCGGCGUGCUUAACACAUGCAAGUCGAACGGAAAGGCCCUGCGUUUGUGGGGUGCUCGAGUGGCGAACGGGUGAGUAACACGUGAGUAACCUGCCCUUGACUGUGGGAUAACUUCAGGAAACUGGGGCUAAUACCGGAUAGGAGCUCCUGCUGCAUGGUGGGGGUUGGAAAGUUUCGGCUGUUGGGGAUGGACUCGCGGCUUAUCAGCUUGUUGGGGGGGUAGUGGCUUACCAAGGGUUUGACGGGUAGCCGGCCUGAGAGGGUGACCGGCCACCUUGGGACUGCGAUACGGACCAGAAUCCUACGGGAGGCAGCAGUGGGAAACAUUGCACAAUGGGCGGACGCCUGAUGCAGAAACGCCGCGUGCGGGAUGCCGGCCUUCGGGUUGUAAACCGCUUCCGCCUGUGACGAAGCGUGCGUGACGGUAAUGGGUCAAGAAGCACCGGCUAACUACGUG
RNAcentral lists this ribosomal RNA (468 nucleotides) under uncultured bacterium. Its description in RNAcentral is "partial 16S ribosomal RNA". It matches the Rfam family "Bacterial small subunit ribosomal RNA", at positions 28 to 507 of the family's 1533-position model. The record is from RNAcentral.